UCGUCUUAUUGUAAAUACUCAUCUCUCUCUCUCUCUCUAUCUCUCUCUCGUCCCAACUGGUAUCUCAAGUUCUUUAUCAUCAAGGUCCUCUUCUCCCAGUCUCCCACAUACCCAUAAUAAGUGAUGAAGCUGCAAUUUCAAAUUUUCAGUUCCAAUCGCCCUCACCCAACCCUCUCCUUCUCCAAAUCCCUAACCUCCACUCUCUUCCUCCUCCCUCAAACCCUCCCUUGAACCUUCCCCGGCGGCGUCUCGAAGUGGCAGUGCAAGCAUGCAGGCCAAGAAUGUCAAGCGUCCCUAGCUAAAAGCCGCCGUCGAUGUUGAUAGAAACAGAGAGGACAUGGUAAUGUGGUGCGCGAUGGCGAAAAAGAAGAAAUGGUGGUUUGGAGUUUGAAGGGAGUGAUAGGAGGUAUAAUUCGAGAGAAGGUAGAUAGGGAUUAGGGCAGAAUUUCGCUUCACCCCAACGGUACGACGAGCUGAGGUCGUUGGAAGCAAAAUAAGAAUAGCUAGCUGCGAAUAGAUUAAAAUUUCGAUAACCUGGCCUGGGUGUAUAGAUGAGAAUAGACGUUAAGUAUCGACGACAUUUUCGGACGAGUGAGAUCUAAAAAUGUCAAAAAUAAAAGUAAGAGACAUCUUGAACGGUCAAGAUUGUGUUAUGAGGCAAUAUGCCAAGCAAAGUUGGUCUGAGGUUGAGGUAAUAAGAAUGAACUCCCAGUAUAUGUAAUCUACGAAUUUCGAUUGUACAUAUUUUAUGUUUACAACUGGAUGAACUCAUUGUGGAAUCACCAAUCUGGGAAUCUUCAGCUGACUUGUCUCAUUGAUUACCGAUGCUUUCUACAGUUGAGUUGUCUCAAGUAUCCUUCUUCCUCCAUAUGAUCGAUGAUGUGCUCGAAUUGCUCAUGAACUGGCGUCUCCGGGUUGGGGAUGAUUCAUCACUUCCUAAACAUAAAAAACAGAAAUUAUUCUUUGAAGAACAUGACAAUAUCUCUCACAUUAGAUUAUAAUAUGAUGUUUAACGCUGAUUGAGAGAAUCAUCUAUGCAGUUACUUCAAGUGUACGUAACUAGGGAACUCACUGGCUUUGUGGAAACUGAGCACAUCUGUAUUGAGAAUGCUCCUCCACCCUUUUCGCCAAGUUCUCUCAAUCUGUUAAGCUCAGGUAGCACAACCUUCCCUAGAUCGGGUCUGUCUUUUCUCCCCAUUUGAGCACAUUGUAAUGCUAACUUGGCAAACUUCAACGCUUCCUCGACGGGCCAGUCAGGAACAGCGGGGUCAAGCAUCUCAGCGAAGGUCCCUAUCUCAAUGGCAUGCUCAACAAGAUGAGUCAAACCCAUUGCUUGUUUGGCUGUUAUUAUUUGUAGAAGCAUGACCCCAAGUGAGUAGAUAUCAGAUUUUGUUCCAAGCAAGCCAGUUUGUUGAUACUCUGGGUCGAUAUAACAGAAUGUCCCAGCAGCUGAUGUCAUGUGAUACUGAGUGACUGAGUCAGCUACUGAUGGAGGGACAAGCCUUGACAGACCUACAUCACUAAUCUUGCUGACAAAGUUAUGGUUUAGCAAAAUGUUUCCUGGCUUUAAGUCACGGUGUACCAAGGGUUCUGGCUUGGCUUGGUGAAGGAACAAAAGCCCCGUGGCAAUUUCUGCGGCUAUUCGGAACCUUUGCUGCCAUAACUGGUGUGUUACCUCGUCGAAACAGACGGUCUUCUAAGCUCCCAUUAGCCAUGUACUCAUAGAUCAGACAACCAUACUCUGGGCAGGCUCCGAGCAAGAGAACCAUGUUUGGAUGUCUAAUGCAGCUCAAAACUUCAAUCUGCAUACAAGAACCAUCAGUCAAUAAUUCAUGCUCGUAGCUUUUGACAUUUUCUUCCUUUAAUCUAUUAGUUGCUUUUGUUUAAACACACAUGUUCCCUCUCUUGGUAACAAUGUGCAAGUUCACUCUUAAAUCAAAUCACUCAUGGAUCUAAUUCAAAUACUUCACCUCGGUUAUGUUUCUUUUCUGUCCAAUAUCUGAAAGUGAAAAAGUUUUAGAGAUAGUAGUUAGAGUUUUGUUCAUGUGAAAAUUGACUAACCUCUUGUUGGAACUGUGACCGUCCUUGAGCUGCAUCAGGACGUAGAGCUUUUAUUGCCACUUGUGUGUGAUCCAGCUCACCUACAUACACAGGCCCAUAUCCACCUUCUCCAAUCUUGAGAGCUUUUGAAAAAUUGUCUGUUGNNNNNNNNNNNNNNNNNNNNCUCUUUUCAGCUUCUUUGAGACCCUUUAUUUCUGCAUUCCUCCUUUGCUCUGCUCUGCUUCCAGUUCAGCAAUCCUUUUAGCUGCUCUUUCUGCCUCCAUGGCUGCUCUACAUUUUGCUUCCUCCUUCUGUACAAAUUCCAAUGCAGUCUCCUGACCUAGGCGUGCACUUUCCAGUUUGUUCUUCUUCCCAUUUCCAUCGGUCAAGUUGCUUUAGGUAUAUACAAAUUAAAAAUCCAUUAUAAUUUACACUGAAUAUCGGAAACAUAUUUUUUUGUUUUUUUACUGCAUGAGUAAAAUAAAAUAAGAAAACCAAAAAUAUAUAAAAUAAAAAUAUGUCAUAACAACAUGCAUGAUGGUAGAAUUACAAAGGUGAUAUAACCUCUAGAUUGCUGGUUACGCAUGGACUGAGAAACAUUUGAGUCUGAAACGUUGCCGACUUGGUUAUGUAUUUGCUUAUUACGAGCUUCUGGGGGUAAUUUAGAGGUUGCUGUUUACACAUGACUAACAUUUCCCUUGCCAAUGACAUACACAGUGCAGAAAUCCAGUGCCCCUUUCGAUAUGCUGCUUGGAAUGUCUGUAGUUUUGUUAAAUUUCGAGAAAGGAGAAAUGUAAUUAGUAGCCAUGCAUUGUAAUUGAGUUUUGUCCAACUUCUAGAAGUAUAAGUCCAAUUAAAAGUCAAAUUCAUGAUAAUAAUGCUUUAUCUAGUUGCAAUUAACCAAAUAGAGUAAUUCUAAUUAACAGAAAGGCCAAAUGACAUAAAGAUGAGAAAGUUUCAGCAAAUUUAUAUAAUCCACCUGAAAAAGUCACUUUUUGAAGGUGCCGCAAGUACCAAAACCUCAAUUAAAUGUGUCGAAAUAAAAUUGAUGAAUGUUUUUGCUACAUUAGUACCUUCAACUAUUAUUUCAUUGUAUCUUACGUGUUGUAAGUUUAAACUUAGUUAGAAAAGAGAGUUUGCUGUUUGACAAAAAGUACAUACAAUUUAAUCAUAUUAGUUACCCACACUUUUUUCUUACAGAAAGUACGAAGUGGAAGAAACAACUCCCUAUAUUCAGCGUCAAAUAGGCUUUUGCACAAUUUUAAACCUUACUCAUUUACUUCAGAGCUAGAAACUAAUUUCACCGCUGCACCAAAAAGUGAAAAACAUGGGGAAAUUGAGGAUUUGGAAAACUAGACAAAUAUUAACAUUCUAGAGCAAGCAGACAACAUUGAUAUUAACAUUCCAGAGCAAACAGGCAACAUUGAUAGGCACAUUCACCGACUAGGUGCAUAUUUCCAGCAUCCCCUUAGGGCGGGCGGCAAGUUCCGGAAGACACCCUUUCGGAGAAAAACCCAUACGACGCCGUACGAUCGGCCAACGUCCACCACUGCCAACGGCGGCUGGAUCUCCAAGCUCGUCGAUCCCGCUCAGAAGCUUCUCACCUACAGCGCCCACCGCCUCUUCUCCACCGUCUUCCACAAACGCCUCCCUCCGCCUUCCUCAGGUUCGUCUCUCUUUCUCUCUCUCUCUCUCGUGUGCGUUUCAAUUUAGCCAAUGUUGCUUGAAAUUCUUUAUAUGAAUUUGAAAUUCGAAUCAAGACUUGGGAUUCUGGAAUUCUUAAUUGAAAUGCCUGAUAAUUAAUUGCAUUUAAUGAUGAAGCAAGGAUUUUUCGUUUAAUUUAGUCUCCUGUUUCUUUACCAGAGGCGAAUCAUGAAGCAAGGGUUAUGGACAAGGGAGAAGUUGACAUUGUAAGUAUGAAUGUAUUUAUUAUUUAUUUCUAUUGCUUCAUGUNNNNNNNNNNNNNNNNNNNNCUACAUCACUAAUCUUGCUGACAAAGUUAUGGUUUAGCAAAAUGUUUCCUGGCUUUAAGUCACGGUGUACCAAGGGUUCUGGCUUGGCUUGGUGAAGGAACAAAAGCCCCGUGGCAAUUUCUGCGGCUAUUUGGAACCUUUGCUGCCAAGGAAUAACUGGUGUGGUACCUCGUCGAAACAGACGGUCUUCUAAGCUCCCAUUAGCCAUGUACUCAUAGAUCAGACAACCAUACUCUGGGCAGGCUCCAAGCAAGAGAACCAUGUUUGGAUGUCUAAUGCAGCUCAAAACUUCAAUCUGCAUACAAGAACCAUCAGUCAAUAAUUCAUGCUCGUAGCUUUUGACAUUUUCUUCCUUUAAUCUAUUAGUUGCUUUUGUUUAAACACACAUGUUCCCUCUCUUGGUAACAAUGUGCAAGUUCACUCUUAAAUCAAAUCACUCAUGGAUCUAAUUCAAAUACUUCACCUCGGUUAUGUUUCUUUUCUGUCCAAUAUCUGAAAGUGAAAAAGUUUUUAGAGAUAGUAGUUAGAGUUUUGUUCAUGUGAAAAUUGACUAACCUCUUGUUUGGAACUGUGACCGUCCUUUGAGCUGCAUCAGGACGUAGAGCUUUUAUUGCCACUUGUGUGUGAUCCAGCUCACCUACAUACACAGGCCCAUAUCCACCUUCUCCAAUCUUGAGAGCUUUUGAAAAAUUGUCUGUUGCUGCCUCAAUCUCUUGAAUCGAGUAUUUCCUGUACCGUGGAUCAUAACUCCUUCCUCCUAGUGAGUUCGUCCUCUUUUCAGCUUCUUUGAGACCCUUUAUUUCUGCAUUCCUCCUUUGCUCUGCUUCCAGUUCAGCAAUCCUUUUAGCUGCUCUUUCUGCCUCCAUGGCUGCUCUACAUUUUGCUUCCUCCUUCUGUACAAAUUCCAAUGCAGUCUCCUGACCUAGGCGUGCACUUUCCAGUCUUUGUUCUUCUUCCCAUUUCCAUCGGUCAAGUUGCUUUAGGUAUAUACAAAUUAAAAAUCCAUUAUAAUUUACACUGAAUAUCGGAAACAUAUUUUUUUGUUUUUAUUUUUUAUUUUUACUCAUGAACUUACAAGUGCGCAAUCAAUGCCUUCUGGUUGUGUGUGUGUGUUUGUGUGUCUGCAAGGAGAAGAGGCUGGUUCACAUUACCUGCUGUUUUGAUGUUAGGGUGUCCUUACUGGCCGUAUUGUACAUUUCCAUUGUUUGCUUGAGCUCUAGUAUGAUUCUCAUCAUCUCAUCUUCUACUUCUUCCUAUAGUAAUUGGCAAUAAAAAUUAAAUUAGGAUUCUGAAAUAUUUCUACAUUCAUGCAUCCAAUUGAUUGAUUGCAGUGAUUGCAGUGCACUACUAGUGCAGUAAUCACUCAAAAGUCAAACAAAAACAUUUUUCCACUUUUUAAAUUGGCUUUUGACUCAACUAGAGUUUAUGCUCAUUAAUAUUUGUCUUACCAUAUUCCGGGAUGACCAUGAUUUUCCACUCUGAGUUGAUGAUAAUGAGUUAAUAUCAAUGAACUGGGUUCUUGAGUAGGACUGUGUAGAGGUAUAGCUUCCUCCGCUACUCGUGAAUGAUACAUUGCUGCCUGGUGUCACUUCAUAUAAUUCGUUUGUUGAAGCUUGUCCUCUGGUGAAUGGUGACCUAGAAGAAAAUAUUUACAUUUCUGUGCGGUCAGUCCUUCUGAUUAAUUGUUUUACAAUUGCCAUAACUUUAUAUAUAUUUCAAAUAAUCAGAGCUCACUUGAUUCCAGUGUCAUCAUCUAUCCGAGAAUUAUGGUGUCGGUACUGUGUUCUUGUCCUCUCUGAUGCUGUAUCAAUCAAAAGAACAUGAAAUAGUGAGAAAGUAAAAGUAAAAUAAGAAAACCAAAAAUAUAUAAAAUAAAAAUACGUCAUAACAACAUGCAUGAUGGUAGAAUUACAAAGGUGAUAUAACCUCUGGAUUGCUGGUUACGCAUGGACUGAGAAACAUUUGAGUCUGAAACGUUGCUGACUUGGUUAUGUAUUUGCUUAUUACGAGCUUCUGGGGGUAAUUUAGAGGUUGCUGUUUGCACAUGACUGACCUUUCCCUUGCCAAUGACAUACACAGUGCAGAAAUCCGGUGCCCCUUUCGAUACGCUGCUUGGAAUGUCUGUAGUUUUGUUAAAUGCUCUUUUGCAUUCGAGAAAGGAGAAAUGUAAUCAGUGCAUGCAUUGUAAUUGAGUUUUGUCCAAGUUCUACAAGUAUAAGUCCAAUUAAAAGUCAAAUUCAUGAUAAUCAUGCUUUAUCUAGUUGCAAUUAACCAAAUGGAGUAAUUCUAAUUAACAGAAAGGGCCAAAUGACAUAAAGAUGAGAAAGUUUCAGCAAAUUUAUAUAAUCCACCUGAAAAAGCCACUUUUUGAAGGUGCCGCAAGUACCAAAACCUCAAUUAAAUGUGUCGAAAUAAAAUUGAUGAGUGCUUUUGCUACAUCAAUACCUUCAACUAUUACUUCGUUGUAUCUUACCUGUUGUGAGUUUAAACUUGGUUAGGGAAGAGAGUUUGCUGUUUGACAAAAAGUACAUACAAUUUAAUCAUAUUAGUUACGCACACUCACAAGUUUUUUCUUACAGAAAGUACGAAGUGGAAGAAACAACUCCCUAUAUUCAGCGUCAAAUUGGCUUUUGCACAAUUUUAAACCUUCCUCAUUUACUUCAGAGCUAGAAACUAAUUUCACCGCUGCACCAAAAAGUGAAAAGCAGGGGAAAAUUGAGGAUUUGGAAUACUAGACAAAUAUUAACAUUCUAGAGCAAGCAGACAACAUUGAUAUUAACAUUCUAGAGCAAACAGGCAACAUUGAUAGGCACAUUCACCGACUAGGUGCAUAUUUCCAGCAUAGGAAUAUGCAAUUGUGAGGUCUACACCAUUGAUCGAAUAUGCCUAUAUGCAAAUACAUGGACUGUUAGGAAUACUUAUUACAACGUUAAGCUAUUUGUACUUUGGUGAUUGACUCUCAUCUUGCUACCAGAAAUGGUGGACAACUAUCAUUCUAUCAACAUAUGCCUUCAUACACAGGAUAGAACUGCAUGUUGAAUAUUAAUAACAUCAUCAACUUGCAUGAGAGAGAGAGAGAGAGACGAGAUAUUUACGUACUUUGAAUAGGAAGGCCUGGUGUUGAUUGUUUAACAUGCACAAGGGUGAGACUUUGGCCCUUGGCGAGAAAAUGCUCAACAGUCCAUUUGAGAGCAUAUUGACUUCCCUUGUCCUUGUCUAUUGCCACCGCCACCGCCUCUUCUCUCUUCUCAUCACCUGCGGCCCAUGAUCUUGCCAUCUCUCUCUCUCUCUCUGAACAGUGACUGAAUUGAGAAACUCUCAGAACCAAAAAAAAAANNNNNNNNNNNNNNNNNNNNCAAACCAAAAAUAAAAAUAAAAAAAAAGUACCUCCUCUUCAACAGUUGGACAUAAUAUCUUCCUCACACUAACGUCUCCACAUUCAACAACUCAUUGACUUCCACACCCAUCACAUGUAAACCAAUUUACAUUGUUAUGCAUAUUUCUGUAACAGCAACUGGGAUCAGUUAUGUUUUAAAUCUAUUUUUGUUAGGAUUGUGGAUCUCUAGUAGGUUAUGUCAGCCAACAAUCCAACCAAUAAAACACCAAGCCGAGUUUUCAAGACACUUUCUCCCUCCUCGGGUUUAAGAUCAGCUAGUGAAUAACUAAAUUUAGGAGUGGGAUACAGAUCAUUAUUUUGUAACUUUCGCCUAACUUUAAGAUUCAGAGUUCAUAUUUGAUGGAACUAUUGGAGAUGCUUUUACUAUAUAUGAGCAAUCUCCACAUUCCCUACAACAUAUUCUGUUAUUUCAUAUUUCAUUUGCUGAAACAGAAAGAAUGAUCAAUUUAUUUAUUUCAAAUUUUACAUAGCGAAUCUGGGACGAGCCCAAGAACUUCGUAAAAAUAAUUGAAAGAAUAUAUAGUAUAUUAACAUACAAAUAUAACCAAAAACUUGUAAUCAAAAGAAUCAAAUGGUGAAGAUACACAGAGAAGGAACUGAUACAACAACAAUUACAGUAAGAACCUGGUUUCAAGUUCAGCAACAAUAGGGGCAUAUAAUCAACCCAUUUUCAUUGCACUGCGGGCACACAUUAGACUCUCCCUUGUCGGCAAUGAGCUUGUGACUUCCAUUGCACUUGAAACAAACCACAAACCGAACUCCAGCGCAACCUUGACAUGAUCCUUGUGAUAGAUCCAACGGCACUCCAGCAAGGAGCGGCCGCAGCUUUCCUUGCUCAUGAAGCGCCAGAACCUCCUCUGCUCCCCCAAUGUAUCUCCCCUUUAUGAAAAGCUUAGGAGGAACCGAGUUGCAACCCAAAAUGCUGCAAAGCUCUUGUCUGAACUCCAUGUGCAUUGACACAUCACGCUCGAAAUACACAACCCGAAAGCUCUCUAACAGAAAGCGGAUGCUGUUGCAAUCGUCGAACGUCUUGCGUAUCCCUCGAAGGCUUGUGGUGUAGAGAAUUACUUAGUCGAAGCUCCCAGGUGGACGUUUCUCUUGGAAGCCCAAGAGAGGGUCUUCACUCAAUCUCAUAUACUCAAUCACCGCUUGCCGAAAGGCGGCCAGUAGGCCCGGGUCGAAGAGGGUACCGGAAUCUAAGUCGGGUCGCCGGAAAGACGAGAUGUCAAUCUCCGAUAAAGGUAACACUAAUGCUUCUGAUUCUGAAUCUGGGGAAGUAGCUUUACUCUGUUUCAAAGUAGACUCCACNNNNNNNNNNNNNNNNNNNNAGGGUUCAACCAAAUGUUUGAGAUUUCAGACUGUAUCAACUCAUAAUGGCUUCUUUGUAACUUUUCUGUUAAGGAUCCUCCUGGAGUGCAAAAAUGGUGCCAUUGAGCAAAGUACUGGUCCCAGAGCUACUUCUGCUGGAGACGGGGGGUUUACCUUACUUGAGCAAAUUUUGGAGCAGAAAACCUUUACCAGGCAAGUCGUAUAUAUUAAUCACAAUGUUUUUUCUUCUCUUCUGGGACUUUGAAAUUGCUUAGAUAUUCUAAUUGCAGCCUUCCAUGACAACAUUGUGUUUCUUAUGCUAUCCUCUCUGUGCUUAUUAAGCUGUACGUGUUUUUUCAUUGAAAACAACAAGAGGAUUACUAGAUUGCUUGAUGGUCUCUGACCCUUUUUAGGUGAAAGAGUAAGGACCUCCUUGAUGAAUACCAGUGGAAGACCACUAUGGUUUGUCCAAGGCUGAGUGAAGCUAGUAGGUUUUAUUGCUUUAAUAGCUUGAUUAUUUUUCGUAAAUCCUUGAUAUUUUAUAUAUUUUAAAUGACCUAAAUGGAAUGGGUUGAAACCCUUGGGGAAAUCUUAUUAUGCAGGUUUAGCCCUAUCUGUCACACAUCAUUCCUUGUUUAUUUGUAGUUUGUGGAAGCAUAGUGAUGUCUUUGCUUGUUGUUUUACUUUCGAUAUGACUGUUUCCUCCAAAUAUAUUUUCAUUCCCUGCAAUGCUUUAAUUACACGCAUAGUUUGGAAUUUGAACUUCUUGGGAUUGGUUAUUAUUAGAGCUUAACCUGCUUGAGGUAUCCAAUAAAAGGAACAAAUAGAAGAUUCUGCUGUAAUCGCAUCUGUGCCACUUCUGCUUUUCAUAACUUGCCUUUUUUAUUGUACAUGUUUGUCAUGGUGUUGAGUUUCAUGUAUGUUAAUUCCCUGCAGAUCUGAAAUUGAUCGAUUGAAAGAGCUCUUGCAUUCAAGGACUGAUGAUGUACCUACUGAGAAUCUAGAGAAAAGAUCUGAAGUAAUACCUUCAAUGGAAAUGGUAUCUCAUGACAGGAAGGAGGAAUACGCUAAAACCCCAUUGCAAGAUAAAAGUGCCAAUAGCCGCCUCGUUUCAACCCCUGUUGUCAGUACAACUGUAUGAUACCCUUUUCUGAGUUGACUAUAAUUAUGGCUUAUUUAUUUUCACAGCUGUGGUGUUUACACUUGGUACUCUUUAAACCAAAUAAAAACUGUUAUAAUUCUUUAUUACAGUUGCACUUGGCUCUUUUUUUUUUUUAACAUUGUUGUAAAUAAUGUCUUCAGGUCCCUGAUGAUGAUGCAGCUUCACCUGUUGAGCUGGCAAAAGCUUACAUGGACAAUAGGUCUUCAAAAGUAUCCCCAUCAUUGCUGGGUCUACGUAGUCGAGCUGUCUAUGAAGAUUCACAUAACAGUGUGGCAUUUCCUUCCAAAUUAUCACUAAUGUCAGUCGUUCCUCGAUUUUCUAGCACUGGGGCGGCACCAGAGAAUGGUUUUGCAACCCCUAGAUCUCAAGGCAGAUCUGCAAUACACAGUAUGGCUCGUACGCCAUACUCUCGAGUUCAAACCCAUAAUACAUUUAGGGUUAGUUUUAUAAAGAAUUUUGUUAGCUUUGGUGUCAAUGUUAUCUGGGAUUCAGGCUCUUAUAGUUGUCCCUUGUAUUUCAGGGUGUCGGGUCUACAGUUGAUACUUACGGUGCACCAUCCUCAUCAACUCGGUCUAAAUGGGAGCAAAGCCAACCCUCUGGAUCCAAACAAGGGGUAUAACACAGUUUUUGAAAUGAAUCUACAUCUCACUAGAUAUUUUUUUGCUAUAUGUAUAGCCCUUAGGGUUGAAACCAGCUUUGAAGGUUGGUACUCUCUCUUUCUUAGGGGUUGAAGAACCAGUUAUGUGUUGCCUUGUCUCGAAAAAAAAUAAUAAAUGGUGCUCCCUCUUUUCUUGGGGUUGAAGCACCAGCUUAGAAAAUUGGUGCUCCCUCUCUCUUAGGGGUUGAAGAACCAGUUAUAUGUUGCCUUGUCUCGAAAAUUAUAUAAAAAAAUGGUGCUCCCUCUUUUCCUGGGGUUCAAGUACCAGCUUUGAAGAUUGGUGCUCCCUCUUUUUUUGGGUUGAAGAACCAGUUAUAUGUUGCCUUGUCUCGAAAAAAAACAAAAAUAGUGCUCCCUCUUUUCCUAGGGUUGAAGUACCAAUUUUGAAGAUUGGUGCUCCCUCUUUUUUAUGGGUUGAAGUACCAGUUUUGAAGGUCUUCAUUGAAGAUCAGUGCUUCCUCAGCUAGACAUCGUUGAAGUGUUGUGUUUUUGGCUCGUUGAUAAGUUAGGAUUUAGUAGUCAAAUCCAAGUCUAGAACAGAAAGAGGACAGUGCUGUAGCUUUUCUAUAAGUUCUAGGAAAGUUAGUCUUUCAAGGUUCUAUUAGGAUUUGUAAUAGACUUAUGUCUAUUAGGUUUAGGAGUGUUAAACCGUGUUGUAUCUGCAGCCCCUAUUUUCUAUAAAAUAGGAGCUGCAGGGGGGUUUCUAAGGGUAAGACACCGUAGAAAACCGAGGGCUCUAAGGGUGAUAGAGAGAUCUAGCAAGGGAGUUGGGGAUUAGCAUAAGGAUUUCAAUAAGUACUUGUAAUCAGGAUGUCAUUCUCCAUAGUGCUAGUGAAUCUCUCAAGAGAGAUCACAAAGUGGACGUAGGCCAGGGUUUUGUCUGAACCACUAUAAAGUUGCUGUGUGCUGUGUUUCUGUCUUCAAGUUCAUCUUUUUAGCUUUAGCUUUGCUUAAGUCGUAAAGUACCAGUAAAGAUCCUAAGGGGGGUUUCUAAGGGUAAGACACCGUAGAAAACCGAGGGCUCUAAGGGUGAUAGAGAGAUCUAGCAAGGGAGUUGGGGAUUAGCAUAAGGAUUUCAAUAAGUACUUGUAAUCAGGAUGUCAUUCUCCAUAGUGCUAGUGAAUCUCUCAAGAGAGAUCACAAAGUGGACGUAGGCUAGGGUUUUGUCUGAACCACUAUAAAGUUGCUGUGUGCUGUGUUUCUGUCUUCAAGUUCAUCUUUUUAGCUUUAGUUUUGCUGAAGUCGUAAAGUACUAGUAAAGAUCCUAGGGCGCUGACCACUAUAUGAAGGCCUUCAUUAUGGACAUACAAUUGAAGGGUAUAAUGUAGAGGUAAAGAAAAAUCAGCUUCUGAGCUCAAGAUGUUUGUUGAUAUAGUGUCUUCUUAAUACAACAAAGAGAAUGCCACUCUUUGUUGUACUUUAUACCAGAAAAGAUGGUCUGUUAAGCUCUAGAAUUGGAAUUUUGUUGUGAGUUUUACAUUUAGAAGAAAAUUACUGGUUUAUUGCUUGCUUGAUAGCAGAAAAGAUGGCGACGCCUCUCUUCUCUGUUAAGAUUUAGAAUUGGGUUUCUGUGGUUUUAAGAUAAGGUUCUGGUUUUUCCUUUGCAUAAAUAACAAACCUUGUAUUUCUAGUUUGGAUAAAUCUCUAAGAUAGAUAUGGCUGCCUCGUUUUCGUCUUAAUUCUUUUCUUGUUUAUGACUCAUUGCUUAUUGAGCUGGGGUGCUCAUCUUAUAUCAUUUUCUUAUUUUUUUGUGUUACCUUAAUAUUAUCCUGCAUUAUAUUCUGUUGUUUUAGUACAUGCUUGCUAGAUUAGUGUGAUUUCUCUUCUCUCAAAUCAUCAAUGGAUAUAUUUGGUGUUUAUGUUCACCCUACACUUUCUGUAGGUGUAUUGAAAUGUGAUGAAUGUUUGGUUCAUGGAAGGAACUGGGCAUUGACGUAACCUUUUGAGCUGUUACUGUAUAAAGUAUAAAUAAUUUAGCUAGUCUGUCUAUGAUAUGUUACCCAGCAAGUUCAUUAAGGAAUUUGCUGCGUAUUGUGUUAAUUUCCUGAACACUAAUAAAGCUUCCUCUACAUCUGAGAUUAUAGGAUACAUCCUUUGACCAUACGGUCUUGUGUCAAAUGACUGUUAUCUGGACCUUUGAUUGUAUGGAAGGGUAUCAGUUGUCCCAACUUAGUCGUGUAGCAGUAAGACUGAAUCAAAAUGCUAGAAUUGCAUUUCCUUUUAGGUUUCGAAACUCAAAGGUUUAUGAAUCAGUGUCUUCUUAGAUUGUUUUGGGCAAUAUCAGGUUUACAAGGAUAUGCCAUGUUAUGAUGGCUGUGUUGUGGCUAAAGAUAAAUAUAUAUAGGUACAUACAUAACUCGGUAUCAAAUUUAAUUGUUGUUAAGUAGUUGCUGCCGGUACUUUAGCUACUGUAAAAUCUGUUAGUGUGUGUCUGUUGACCUGACAUUGGGAUUUUCCGACUCAAUUUGGACAAUGUGUCUAGUCUCUUUGUUUAUAUUUAUCUGGUCAUGCACUACAUCUACAUUUAUGUAUCCUACAGUUGUGAAAUUUUAUGUUAGUUAGGACUAGUAUGAAUCAAUGAGUCAUAAUGUUGUAACUCUAGAAGCUUCCUUUUGCUUUGAUUUCCUUCCUUUCUUUGUUGUUUGUUUGGUUGCUUUGGUCUCGGGCAAGUUGCACAUGUCAAAUGACUUUACAACCGCUUGUGUUUAUGGUUUUUCUGUUGUAUAGCUGGACCUUAUACGUGGUUGUUGUGAAUCUAUUAUUGGCCGUGCUUGAUUAAUAUAUAGUCGGAUCAAGAUACCUGUUUUGGCUAGAGUGCUAUGUGAUGGCACUGAGGUCAGUUUCCGCUUCAAUUUAUGUAAUCUGUUGGUUUCGCAUUCGGGAAAGUUUCGAGUUGAUUUUAGUAAUUUACAGCUUUAGUUUUAAGCUUAGGCAGAUUUUAUGGCUUUAUGAAUGCACUUGUGAUCAAUCUUUCAUAAAUCAUAAUGAAGUUCAUGAUUUCAUGUGUUAUUGUAGGACUUUUGAAAGUGUUAGGCUUAGAUGAAAGGUUUAUAUAGGGGUUUCAUGGUGGUGGCCAAUACACAGGCAAGUGAAAGUGGUGGUGUUAUCAUCUAUCACAGCCUUUGUAAUCUAUCACACCCAACCACUACUAGGAAUCUAAACUAAUUAUAAGAAUAAAGUCUCAACUAAUUCUGAUAUUAGUUUUAUUGGGAAGGGUUAAUUGUACAGGUAUUUGUCAGGAGAAUAUUGUGUAAAGUCUGUGUGUGCUUGCAGUGCAAGCCAUUGUCCUUUUGAAGGGAAAGUUGUGUGGGGAGAGUUUAAUAUGGAGGAUACUAUUUCUAAUGCGGCUUGAAAUUGUAUUGAUAUGAUCUUCGGCUGAAAACAGUUUUUUGCUACAAGUCAAAAAGGUGCCUUCCCAUGUUGUGGAAGGUAUGAUUUCUGAAAAUAAAUGGGAUCAGUCCCUACCUAUUCUACAACUUCAAAUGUUUAGUGUUAUGUUGGAAUGUGCGUGGUUCUGGGGGAAAUUUUGUUCCUCUAUAUGAGUUUGAUGUUUUAAUUGUAUCUGAACCUAGAGUUCCUUUCUCUAGAGCAAAAAAUUUUCGUCAAAAACAUGGCUUCUCUGAUGCUGCAAGUGUCUGAUGUUAGAGGUUUGCUAAUAGGAUCAGAAUCAUAGAAUGGUAGUAUGUUUGCUAAUAGGAUUGCUAAUAGGAUCAGAAUCAUCAGACACUAGAAACUCUCAUUUUAAUGGUAGUAUGUUUCAUCUUCUUCAUCAUCAGAUAUCUCAACCUCUGAAGAUACCUUGAGCAAUUCAGUUAAAUAACAUAAUUUCAAAAAUUGGUUUGGAGUAGUGAAAAUGGCAGCAAGAAUUUCCAAAUUUCUUCGACAAUUUAGGUUGGUGUAGUAUGUUGGAGUUACUGCCUCUCCAUGUUGAGAUUGAUUGAUGCAUGUUUUGGGGACACUGUUGAGAUUGUUGCAUUGUAAUCCUACUUACUGAAAUAAGGGAGUUCAAAGUUGUUGACACUAAUUUGAUUGGUACCUACUGAGCUACUGUGCUGGUUUUGGUUGGGGAUAUUCUGUUGCAUUAAUAGUUGUAAGACUAGCGGCCUUACUUUAUUGUUUAGUAACACCCAAGCUAGAAGAAUCAUAUGUGAAAGACAUUAUUUGUUUGGUCUCCUGGAGUCUGCCAAUUGAGUACUGAGUGGAUAACGAUCUACUCUCACAUGUCAUAAGCAUAACCCCGGAAAGGUCAGUUCUAUCUUCGUAUGAUGCCAACUAUCUACUUAUCUGGCUUUUGUCUUCUGAAAUUUCAGGAGGUUGCUACUAUCACUAUGGCUUAAAACUAAAUAAUACGCAUGUUAAACCCUCCUCCUUGAAACAUUGUAUGUGUUCGUAGGCACAUGUUGAUUGGAUGGUAGUAUGUUCUUGAAGAACUAUCUUGAACUCAAGAAAUAUGUUACUUGCAGAAUGGUCAAAAUUUUAAUUGCUCGUCCUUUGUCUACCCUUAUAACUGGCAUCAUAAAUUUCCCCUUGUCUUACUUAUUUGGCUAUAAUAAGUAUCUGCUGAGGUAAUCAGAACAUGAUUUUAUGAUCGACGGGAUUUUGCAUAGCUAAUAUUGCAAGAUUCUUAUCAUCACCUCAGUUCUGUUAUUUUGUAUACUGCAUCCUAUGCCAGGUCCAUGAAAGCUUUCAAACAUGUUUGGAAAGUCAUUUUGCGUCUUCUCAUCCUAAUGCUCUUCUCAUCUAAUUUGGUGUGUUCGGAAAGUUCAUUGUGUAGAUACUGUUACUAUUGUCGUUGUCUUUAAGUAAAUGCUUCACAUAUUGAAUGCUCCAUGAAGCAUUUUGUUCUCAGGCACAAUGCUGAUAGGAUUCUAGUAUCUUCAUGACGUUGAAGAACAAACUUCAAAUAAGAAAAUGUCAACUUUAUUUUUAAGGGAUCAAUUGCUUUUUUGGUCCCUCAAAAGGAAAGUGAACUACUCUCUUGGUGGAUCAAUUCUCUUUCUGUUUCGUAGCUGAAACCCUUCUCGGAUUCUUCAUUCUGUUUCGUAGCUUCCACGAAUCCCUAUACUUUUUUAGUUUUUUCUUUUUGCUGAUCUAUCUCCACAUGCCACUGUGCAUACAGCUAACUAUCAUACCAGUUUCCGGGCUUCAACUUCAUCUCUUACAGGACAUAAAUGACCAUUUUGGUAGUUUCAAUAGCAUUUAGCAGCACGAAAAGCACUUUUCUAUCUUCAAAUAAAUUACUUCCUGCUGUUUAUUGGUAGGACGAUAAACAGGACUUCGAACUUCUGAUAGCAGCGAUAUAUCUGCAUUUCCAGAAUGACCGAUUUCCAGCUCUAAUAAAAGGUCAUAGGAAAAAAAACGUUGUGUUUUUAUUUUUGUUUGCAGUGCAAAUCCUUUGGCUUGGUCCCAAAUGCCAGCUCUUUAUUAGAGGAGAAGAUUGAAAAAAAAAAAAGAGAAAAGAAAGAAAGGGGAAUGUCUUAAAAGUUUUUCUUCAUAUGCGUUGAGCUCUUCUUGCUCUGAAUACGAGUAAUAACAACCUCUAAGCUUUCUCCCCGCUCCUUGUGUGACGUUCAAACGUGGUACGGAUAUACAUGCAAAGGUCAAGGCAGCAAAACUCUACAUGUGAAAAUUAGCUACAGUAUUGCAAAGCAUCAAAAGUUCAAAAUUAGCUACAUGUUAAAAGGGAUAGUUCCGAAUUGGAUUGCACUAUUUUCCUGAUACACCAACCAGCUCAGACGAUAAUGAUUGAUUGCGCUUAAACGAUUACCAAAUAAUUCAAAAACCAAAUUUGACUGACCGAAACUCCAAAGCAGAGCUUACAACAUUAAGAGAUAAGUGGGUAAAAUUAAUAAAUGAAUGAAUUCAAUCAUAACUAAAUUGAUUGUAACCCUUUGUUCCUUCCCUCUCGCUUUCUCUUUAGCUUGUGAGGGUUAGAGUUUCCAUUGUAUCGAUCCCUUCCAAUCAAAGGUGAGUUGGGUGUGUAGUCUGCGUCGCAGGGUUCCAAACCCUUUCAAAAAGAUUAAAUAAACUGAUAGCAUAUUUUAAAAGUCACCAAAACCUUACUAUGAAAGAAGUAGAGACUUGCCUUGUAUUAGGUGUAGCUCGAGGCAAUCAAUCAUCACCGGGACAUAGUUCGGAAACAAGCUUUACUACUCCCCACAUGGGUGCAUCAUUCUGCAGAAAUCCAUGAAUUAAGUUAAAAAAGAGUACAGUAUCAUCACGAACAUAUAAGCAAGAAAUCAUGUCAACUUCACCACAUUUGACGAAUCUUUCAAUGGAAUGAAGCAAAAUUCCCAGCUUAUGGCACCAAAAACAUAUGCAACCUUUUCCUCUUUUUGGGACCUCCAUACACCCACAACAUUGAUCUUUCAACUUUUUUUGAGAAAAUUUGACGUGUUAUUUUGGUAUUUUCGCACGAUCUUACGAGAUUGCGAACGAACAUAUCAACGUUCUCGGAAUCUGCCGAAACCAAAUUCUUGGCUCUUUUUGGGACCUCCAUACACCCACAACAUUGAUCUUUCAACUUGUUCGCAAUCUCGUAAAUUUAGAAAACAAAAGAAAACAAAAGAAACGAGUUAUUCUUUUGGAUUAAAUUUAGUUUACCCUAUUGAGGUUUGGGGUUAACAUCAUUUCAGUAUCUAUACUCUCAAUUUUGAAAAUUUACCACUUAAAGUUUUCAAUUUUCAUAAAUCAUGCCCAAUUGCUAAAAUUCCGUCUAAUUUGAACGUUAAUUUUGACUUUAUAACUCAUUUUAAGGGCUAAAAUAGUCAUAUAACAUCAUUUAAUGUCUAAAAUUGCACGAAAUUUUAGCAAUUGGGUUUGAUUUAUGAAAAUUAGAAACUUUAGGAGGUAAAUUUUAUAAAAUUAAAAGUAUGUUAAAAUGAUGUUAACACCAAACCCCAUGGAGAUAAACUGAAAUUAAUCAUAUUCUUUUAGUGUAGCCCUUAAUGAUAAAGAUUCAGUAUACAAAAACAUCUACGAGGUCAUCCAUUUUUACUAUGAUUCUCAAUUAAAAAAUCAAGAAAUUCGUCUGAAUGGUAUACGAAUUUUUGUUCCUUAUAAACUUUUGUAUAUCAAGUUUUAAAAAUAUCAAAUUGGUAUCUCAUGUUUCUAUCUGGAUCUUAGAUUGGUAUAUAUAGCUACUAAGAUGACUAAUUUACCAAAAAAAAAGAUGACCAAAUAUUAAGAUGAGUAAUUUACUCACAAAUUUAUAAAAGCCAACCCAAGUCAUCACAUUCCAAAACCUCUUCAAAUAUUUCUGGAAUAUGAAAACAAAUAUAAAAAAAACUAAGAAAAAAAGAGAACUUAAGGGUAAAUUGGUCAUCUUAAUGAGUAUAUAUACAAAUCUUAGGUCUAGAUGGAAACAUGAGAUAUCAUUAUGUAUUUUCAAAACUUGAUAUACCAAAGUUUAUAAAGAGCAAAAGUUUGUAUAUCAUUCAGACGAAUUUCUCUAAAAAAAUUAGUUAAAAAGUUUAAAUAUAAAAUAAAAAAAUAAAAAUACAACACCUUCACAAAAGGCUAAUACAAAAUUAUCAUGAUACUAGGUUCCUAACAUCGGGGUUGAACCAUAACCCCAUUAAUAUUUCAUAGAAACCCAACAACAUUCCAGUUAGAGUGGAAAGUCCAGUUGGUACAAGCUUACAAUCAAUCAAACCAACCGCAGAGCUCUAAUAGUUUAUUUUGCAGUUAAAACCCACAACCUGUAAGCCUUGCAGCACUGUAUAUGAUUUGGGUUUAGCCUUCAUGUAUCUAAAUUUCUCUGGAAAAUAAUUAGCUCGACACUUCCUACAAAUUAUGCCAUUGCAGCAUAUUUCCAAAACGAAAAAAAAUGGCAUAAGAUUUUACUAUUUUGUUGAAAAUAAGAGACAAACUACAGAACAAACAGGCAUUACAAUCAGUGGCAAUCGAAAGUAACCCAAUGAAAGUAAUGAAAAGUUGAAAACCAAAGUAAACCCAGAUAAAAGAAAGAGAGGAUGAAGAGAAUAUAUGUACCCAAAUCGGACUCGAGCGGUUGACGGUGGCUGCGGCUGGAAGUGGAGAUCGGGCAGCCACACAAGAGAAGAAGGUGGCAUUUGUAUUACGAGUGUUACAAAGGUUUGGAGGGGGUGGGUUUGAGAGACACAGUCCUUCACUUUGGGCUUAAGGACGAGCCCAAUUCAAAUCAGCCAUCGACACUACCAACCUCUUUCGUAGUUGAGUGAAAUUUACACUCCCCAAAUUACAAACCACACUAUUUUCAUUGAGGUUGUGGUUAGACCAAUGGGCUAUUUGAUUCGGAAUCAGUGUGAACCCAUCCCUGUCGUGGAACGAGCGUUUAGAAGUUGAGACGUGCUUCCAUUGUGAGGAGAUUAUGAGUUGUCAUGAUGACAAUUAGUUUCCUUAACUACUACGAGGGAGGAGGGGUCGUUCGGUGAAACAUGGCUUACGUGUGGGGAUUACUUAUCCAAAUGUGGUUUUAGGCCGUUUACUCGCGCAGAUGUCCCUAAAUGUUGAUACAAGAAUUUACCUUAGAUUUCUGCUAAGCAAUAGGAUGCUUAUGCUGUGAUUCCCUACAAGACGAUGACUAGCGAUCAGAAGGGCUCCCGGACAGAUUCAGGUGUUGCCUCUUCGACGCUCAAAUCAUGAUCCAUAGCGAAAGCAAUUGGAUUUCUUGUAGAGACUAGAGGUAAGCAUAUACCUGAGCGUAAGAGCUUAGAAUCCCUUUUAUAGGUGGAGAGACGUGCUAUCAGCUGGAGCAUGCUCGUUUCUAGAAGAUUUCCACACGUGCGUCCAAAAGUGAGACCCAUGAGCGCGCAUGAAUGGUCAUAGCUCGUUGGUGAGAUACAUAUGCUUAGUCAUGCAUAACAUAGUUGACGGUGGUCCCACUAACAAAAACGAAAAGGAAACAAAAGGUAAAGGUGCGGUGCGGUUGGAAAUGAAAGGAAAAGUAAAUGGUGCCGAGGCUAUGGUAAAGGUUGCAAAAGCUGCAGUUUGUUUGUUUGUUGAGAGAGUUGUUUUUCUUUUACCCUAAAGCUGCACAAUACAUACUACCAAAUUUUUGUUGUUCAUUGUUGUAGGAGGAUUAAAGUAUUUAUUUUAUAACUGAAUUAAGUUAUCUUAAUUGUUUAAAGUUGCAUCUCCUUGUAAAACAUGGCUAGAACGAAGUAGUGACAUAAACCAUGAGAUAAACAUAAUUUGGGCCGCAUGUGUCAAACUAUCAGCUUAUGGAUAAACAUUAGAAUAAUAUUCAAAUUUAUAUUUGGGCUCAAAUAUUGGUGUCGCAAAAAAAAAGGUCAUAUUAUUGUUUUUCUUUUAUUAUUAAGUAGUAUGAGCCAUUACUUACCAAGGUAGCUGAAAUUUUAAAAAGGUAAAUUUUUCUAUGGUAUUUGAUCUAUGACAAAUUGGAUAGUUGGUACCUAGUGUUUAGAAGACGACACUUUUGAUACAUCAAGUGUUUAUUUUGACAGUUUGGUACUCCCGUUAACUUUUCACUUCAAUAUGAGAGUAAUUUUUUUUAUCAUAAUGUGAGGGUAAAAUUGUCAUUUGGGUAUUAUUAAAAAAUAUAAACAUAAAAAAAACAUGUCUUUUGUGGAUUCAUUAUACAAUAUCGAGAUGAAUUUAUGUUUUGUUCAAAACAUACUUGAAUUUUGUAUUUAAGAAAUUUAACCGUUGUGAUCUAAAUAGUGACGAGACUACUCCAUCAAGAUAUAUGUAAUUGAUACACUGAAAGUCGUAUCAUGGGUGUUUAGAUCACAAAUAAAUAUUUAAGUAAUUUUAAAUACACACAUUUAAUCUCUCAUUGCACACCCUUUAUUUAAUACAUUACCCAUUUAGUUUCUUAUUUCAAUAUUAUAGUAAAUACACAUCCCAAACUGUCUAAAUACCCUCAAUAUCUAAAACUAAUAAUAAUCUGUUAUUUAAUAUAGUUAUUAUAUAUUUAUUAUUUCACAACUCUCUUUACGUAUUCUCUUUUAUUUUUUGUUAGAUAUAUUUGAUCGGGUAAGAAAUUUUUUCUUGAUAUUUUUCAAUUUAUAAUCAAAAGAGUAAUAUUAUAUUUAAACUCCAAAUCUCCAAUAUGAUCUCAAUCAGCUAGAAUUUGAAGAAAAAAAAAAUUUUGACAUACAUAAUUUUUUCAAAGUUAAGAAACUAGUAUUAUAUUUAAACACCAAAUCUCCAAUAUGAUCUCAAUCGGCUAGAAUUUAAAAAAAAAUAUAUAUUGACAUACAUAAUUUUUUUCAAAGUUAAGAAACUAGUAAAAGUACAAUAGCAUAAAAACUAGUUUUUAGUCUGUAAGAUAAAAACGAGUUUUUAGUCUGCAAGAUAAAAACUAAAGUUGAUAAAAAAAAAAACCAAAUGAAUCGGUAAAUAGUACAUGUGAUUAUGACAGUAGUCGAAAUUCAGGUGAUGAAUUUUGGAGAAGAAAUUUUUAUUUCUUUUCUUUUUAUGCGUAGUAAUAAUGGAGAAGAGUUAGGUUUUAGGGAAGAUGAAGUUUCUUUUUUCUUUUCUUUUUCUUUUCCUAAUAAUUGAUGGAUGUUUUUGUAAUCAAAACAUACCUAUAAAAUCUGAUGUGAAAUAUAAAAUAAUAAUGGUGUGUAUUAAGAGAUUAAAAAUGUGUAUUUAAAAUUUCUCUAAAUAUUUCUUAAACAUAAAAUUAAAUCAUGUCAAAUUCGAUCAACAUAACCCAGACUCUAUUUUUUUUUUUACAUUUUAUAUUUAUAAAUAGUACUUAUUUUUACCCUCAUAUUUAACAGAAAUCUCAAAAUGUCAAACUGAGCAUAAGUUAAGAUACUAAGGUGUCAUUUUUUUUGGUAACAUAAGAACCAUGUACAUUGUACAUGUACAACUGUAAGCACAUGCAGUAAAUCCAUAGUUUCGAUAAAACUAACCGACCAACCUCGAAAGUCCAACGAAACAUGGUAGCGCAAGUGAAUGGGACUUUCCUUCCGUUUUGACUUGCCUAGUCCCUAGAUAUUGGAUAGGGGAAUCCAACUGUAACAAGAAGAAGAAUGGCGGUCUCGGCUUUCAGAUCCUCCAGCAGAAGAAGCGAUCCCACCGGUGCCUCAACUUCAUCAUCAGCUAAACGGAGCACCGACAUAGACUCUAAGCCAAACCCUAAACCAAUCAGAAGAUCUAGAAGCGUGAGCACUUUCUCGAGGACUGCCACUUUUAACUCUCACAACAUUGACAAGAGAGACAACCCUCUCUUUUGGUCCUCCUCAGAUUCACCAACAUCACUUCACCCCAAAACCCUACACAUGUUCUCUAUAAGAUUCAUGAGUUCUUGUCUUCAUGAGCUUGCAAUUGAUGAAAUCCAUAAACAAAAAUAAAGACACCUGAGUUUUUAUUUUUUCAUUUCGUAUGUUGCUUGUGAUAACAUCAGAAACAUUCAAUAGUAAAUCUGUUGUGCAAACUCACUUAAUAAAAUAUUCAAACAUCUUUCUCUUCUGCUCUAGUCUAGAAAAGCAAUAUCAUUUUUUCAAUUCUAUUCGAUCUGGCUCUUUUUGUGAAGGCCGUGAAGCUCCUAAUUUCCUAAAGAUAGAGGAAAGAAGAAGAUAACAAUUUUCCCUCUACAAAAAAAAAGAUGACAAUUUUUUUAUUAUUAUAGAGAUGAAAUACAUAUCUAGAGAAAAAAUAAUGAAUUGAAAUAUGAAGAGAUAAAAAAUACCUAUGAAAAAUGACCAAUUGACGUUUACCAUAUUGGAGGUACCGUUUUGAUGUUUUCAAAAUUUGAAACUUAAAGUACCAAAGUUUAUAAGCAAGAAAAGAUGAGGUACCGUUACGACAAAUUUCUCUUUUUAUUAUAUAAAAUGAAUAAUAAUAAAAAACUCAAGGGUAAAUUGGUCAUUUUAUGAAUAUAAAACGGAGCUAACGGUUUUAGAUACCAAACUUCAGUCGAGGUAAGAACGUGAGAUACUAUUUUGAAGUUUUCUAAAGGUGAGAUACCAAAACUUUGCUUUGUUAAAAGGUGAGACAUUGUUUAUACAAUUUUCCCAUUUAUUAAAGAUAUUUUAGACAAAACAUAAUUUGGUAAUUUUCUGAGAGGGCGGAUCCGUGGCACCCAGAAUUAUAAUCAAUAUUAUAACCCAAAUUUUAUCCAUUAGAUCUAAUCGUAAUUAACGGUUGAGAUAAGUCAUAAAAAAUUUAAUCAUUAUUCUAUAAUAAUAGAGAUAAGAUUUUGACAAAUGGGUUCGGUUCAAGGCCAUUUAUUUUUACAUAAUUUUUGACACUCUUUCAUGGCCAUCAGAUUUUAAAAUUUUCAACUGUCUAGAUCACUUGCCAAUACAUAAUUAAAAGAAAACCAAAUCCAAUUCUAACUUUUCAAAAAUCAAAAUCAGAUCAUACACAAUAAAUAAAUAAAAUAAGAAGAAGAGGAAGAACGUAGAAUAUAUGAGUUGUUUGACACCAUCAACUUCCAAAAACAUGCAUCACCUUCCCAUCGACAUAUCCAUCCGUAUGAAAAAAAUACACAGUUUACAAUUCUUUUUUUUUUUUUUUUAAAAAAACUACCACAGUUUACAAUUGAAAUUUUCCAAGGAUUUGGAAUACUAGACAAAUAUUAACAUUCUAGAGCAAGCAGACAACAUUGAUAUUAACAUUCCAGAGCAACCAGGCAACAUUGAUAGGCACAUUCACCGACUAGGUGCAUAUUUCCAGCAGCCCCUUAGGGCGGGCGGCAAGUUCCGGAAGACACCCUUUCGGAGAACCACCCAUACGACGCCGUACGAUCGGCCAACGUCCACCACUGCCAACGGCGGCUGGAUCUCCAAGCUCGUCGAUCCCGCUCAGAAGCUUCUCACCUACAGCGCCCACCGCCUCUUCUCCACCGUCUUCCACAAACGCCUCCCUCCGCCUUCCUCAGGUUCGUCUCUCUCUCUCUCUCUCUCUCUCUCUCUCUCGUCGUCGUCNNNNNNNNNNNNNNNNNNNNCAAAUGUUUGAGAUUUCAGACUGUAUCAUCUCAUAAUGGCUUCUUUGUAACUUUUCUGUAAAGGAUCCUCCUGGAGUGCAAAAUGGUGCCAUUGAGCAAAGUACUGGUCCCAGAGCUACUUCUGCUGGAGACGGGGGGUUUACCUUACUUGAGCAAAUUUUGGAGCAGAAAACCUUUACCAGGCAAGUCGUAUAUAUUAAUCACAAUGUUUUUUCUUCUCUUCUGGGACUUUGAAAUUGCUUAGAUAUUAUAAUUGCAGCCUUCCAUGACAACAUUGUGUUUCUUAUGCUAUCCUCUCUGUGCUUAUUAAGCUGUACGUGUUUUUUCAUUGAAAACAACAAGAGGAUUACUAGAUUGCUUGAUGGUCUCUGACCAUUUUUAGGUGAAAAAGUAAGGACCUCCUUGAUGAAUACCAGUGGAAGACCACUAUGGUUUGUCCAAGGCUGAGUGAAGCUAGUAGGUUUUAUUGCUUUAAUAGCUUGAUUCUUUUUCAUAAAUCCUUGAUAUUUUAUAUAUUUUAAAUGACAUAAAUGGAAUGCGUUGAAACCCUUGGGGAAAUCUUAUUGUGCAGGUUUAGCCCUAUCUGUCACACAUCAUUCCUUGUUUAUUUGUAGUUUGUGGAAGCAUAGUGAUGUCUUUGCUUGUUGUUUUACUUUCGAUAUGACUGUUUCCUCCAAAUAUAUUUUCAUUCCCUGCAAUGCUUUAAUUACACGCAUAGAUUGGAAUUUGAACUUCUUGGGAUUGGUUAUUAUUAGAGCUUAACCUGCUUGAGGUAUCCAAUAAAAGGAACAAAUAGAAUAUUCUGCUGUAAUCGCAUCUGUGCCACUUCUGCUUUUCAUAACUUGCCUUAUUUAUUGUACAUGUUUGUCAUGGUGUUGAGUUUCAUGUAUGUUAAUUCCCUGCAGACCUGAAAUUGAUCGAUUGAAAGAGCUCUUGCAUUCAAGGACUGAUGAUAUACCUACUGAGANNNNNNNNNNNNNNNNNNNNNNNNNNNNNNNNNNNNNNNNNNNNNNNNNNNNNNNNNNNNNNNNNNNNNNNNNNNNNNNNNNNNNNNNNNNNNNNNNNNNNNNNNNNNNNNNNNNNNNNNNNNNNNNNNNNNNNNNNNNNNNNNNNNNNNNNNNNNNNNNNNNNNNNNNNNNNNNNNNNNNNNNNNNNNNNNNNNNNNNNNNNNNNNNNNNNNNNNNNNNNNNNNNNNNNNNNNNNNNNNNNNNNNNNNNNNNNNNNNNNNNNNNNNNNNNNNNNNNNNNNNNNNNNNNNNNNNNNNNNNNNNNNNNNNNNNNNNNNNNNNNNNNNNNNNNNNNNNNNNNNNNNNNNNNNNNNNNNNNNNNNNNNNNNNNNNNNNNNNNNNNNNNNNNNNNNNNNNNNNNNNNNNNNNNNNNNNNNNNNNNNNNNNNNNNNNNNNNNNNNNNNNNNNNNNNNNNNNNNNNNNNNNNNNNNNNNNNNNNNNNNNNNNNNNNNNNNNNNNNNNNNNNNNNNNNNNNNNNNNNNNNNNNNNNNNNNNNNNNNNNNNNNNNNNNNNNNNNNNNNNNNNNNNNNNNNNNNNNNNNNNNNNNNNNNNNNNNNNNNNNNNNNNNNNNNNNNNNNNNNNNNNNNNNNNNNNNNNNNNNNNNNNNNNNNNNNNNNNNNNNNNNNNNNNNNNNNNNNNNNNNNNNNNNNNNNAGAGGCUUAAGCUCACCAAUGAGUACGGAGGCUUUUCAAAACCCAUCAUCUUCCACAAAGAGGCCACUUCUGUUGGGUGAACCCAAGCAUACUCUAGCAAAAUCAUCAUCAGAAAAUGGAGACAAUGCAGUUCCUAGAACAUGUUUUUCAACUGUUCCGUCGCAAUCCAGCAAAGCGGCUUCCAAAAUCUUUGAGCAUCUCGAUAAGAUCAACUCUCCAAAGGAGAAAUCAUCUGAGCCCAAGUUACUUCCUAUGAGCGAUAGAUCACCAACUAAGUUGUCGCCCUCCAUGCUACGUGGUCAGGCUCUGAAAAGCCUGGAGGAUGUGGAUUCGUCGAAAUUCCUGGAAAAUCCCUGUUAUAAAAAUGGUAAUAACUUGGAUGUUUCAUCUAAUCAACUCAUACUAGAUGCUUCUUCUCAAAAGCAUGACAAUGUUAAAGAAAAUUGUCCAUCAAGGGUUCUUGCCCCCUGUGACAAUUCAAGUACAGUAACCAAUGAAGUUGAAUCCACAACAGAAAGGAAAGAUGUAAUGGUAAAGGUUAAACCUGCAGUUUCUGCUGCAUCAAACACUGUUGUUCAUCCUCCUGAAAAGAAACGGCCGUUCGAGAUGAGUGCUCAUGAGGUAUGGUUGUGCUUUUUCAUCUUUUGUUGUUUAGUGAUAAUCUUUGGUGCAGUGUCUCAAAGUUUAAAUUUUUUCGCCGUAGUUUUACUAUGAAUUAAAACUUCAGUGAAUUUUUGGUAUUAGAAAAGCAAUUAUCUUUAAUAUUGUUUUUUAUAGGUAUCUUAUAACACUUAAUUAAAUGAGUUGAUUCGUUUGAAUAUGGUCUGUAGUAUCUGGAGCUGGAUGACGAUGAUUGUUCCAUUAAUGGCCACGUGCCUGGUUCAUUUGCUGAUGGGAGAGUACAGGUAGAUAAGAUUGCAGCUGCUAAUCUGGAGAAGCCUAUAGCUUCAACUGAAGUCAAACCUCCUUCAUCUUUUGCAUUAAAUGAGAAGUCUGAUAGCAGAACGUCUGAUGGGUACGUACUUUGUCAGCAAAUGAAAUGUGAAUUUGUACUUACACGCCUUGCAAAUUUCUAAUUGUACUUGUAUGUUCCUUUUAUCUGCAGUGUAUAUACAGUUGCGCCUGGUGCAACAGGUACCGUACCAAAACCAGUGCAUACAGAUAAAGCUGAUAAGAAUAAUUCAGAUGCUGAAGUCCCUUUUAGGGUACCAGAAAUUCUUGUGUCAUCAUCAGCAGCAGCAGCAGCACCUACUAGCAUAUUUUCCACCACUUCUCAAGUUUCCAACAAUUUAGCAAGUCAAAGUUCUGUCAGCAGCAUGGCCCCCACUGCCAACACUAACAGUGGUAACAACAUUGCUGCUACUAGUGCUGUUACCACCAGCAAUCUUUUUAGCUCAGUUUCAGCACCAUCCUUUUCAGCCGAACCCUGUUCUAAGUUUUCAGUCUCUAGUGCAACUACGGUGACACAGGUACCUGAAAAUUCUCCCUUGGAAUUGUUAGGAGACAAGAACAAGCAAGAUGGCGGUUUUGCUAAUCUAAGCCGCACAGUUUUGCCUGGCACAUCUACUACCAGUGCAGGCACAGAAAAUAGUUUUGUGGGUGUUUCUGCUGCUGCGUCCUUCCCUACUGCCACCAAUCAGUCGGGCCCUAGUUUCAGUUCUGGUAGUGGAUCCGGUCUUUGUGUCCAGGCAUCACCUAAAUUGUUGUUCAAAUGUGAACCCUCAACUGCCUCAACUGCGUUAACAUCUGGAAGUUCUUCCUUGGAAUUCUUAAAUGAUAGGAACAAGCAAGGUGGGUCCUUUGGUACUGUAAGCAGUUCCUUGUUUUCUGGCACAUUUGCAACAAGUGCAAGCGCAUCAAGUAACAGUUUUGGGUUUUCUGCUGCUGCUUCCAUGCCUACCGUUACCGAUCAGGCUCCUGGUUCUUCUCUGUUUAGUGGUGGCAGUGGAACUGGUUCUGGUACCCACCUGUCCCUGCUGGGACAGGAGUUGCGGCUUCCACACAGAGUGCACCUGUUCAACCUGGCUCAUCAUCUUCCAGUUUGGUGUUCAAUUUUGUAGGAAAUACAGCUUUCUCUUCUGGGAGCUCUGCACUCAGUUCUUCUACCCCCUCUUCUGGAGUGAACAGCAGCUCCAGUACUGCUCCAAGUACCACAUUUGGUAGCGGGUGGCUACCUGCUACAUCGUCUAAAUUUGCUUCCACAGUAGACUCUACAUCUUNNNNNNNNNNNNNNNNNNNNUUUCUGCUCCAACUACCAACAGCGCAUCGGGGUUUGCAAUAUCCAAUGGUGCAUCAUCAACUGGCGUGUUCCCCUUUACGUCAUUUGCAACUACUGCCGCAUCUCAACCUGCAUUUGGUAACUCCACUCCUAUGGGCUUUUCUACAGCUCCGUCUGGUAAUAAUGAUCAAAUGAGCAUGGAAGACAGCGUGGCUGAGGACACUGUUCAUGCAUUACUACCCACAGUUGCAGCCUUUGGUCAACAGCCUGUCUCAGCUCCUCAAUCUACACCCACGUUCCAGUUCACCCAGCAACCUGUGUCAACCCCUCAAACCCCCUUUGUAUUUGGAGGUUCCUCCAAUGGCUUCCCGUUUCAGAGCCAACAAAACCAAUCCAACACACAGAAUCCUUCGCCAUUUCAGCCUGUCAAUAGUUUGGCCAACGCGCAGAACCCUUCACCAUUUCAGGGUUCAAAUAGUCUAGGUUUGCCCACCAGUAGCUUCUCACUGGGCGCCCCUGACAAGUCUAAUAGAAGGAUUGUGAAGGUUAACCGUAGCAAGAACAGGAAGAAGUAGUUGGAUUGGUUUACGAAUGAGGGCAUAACUGCCCUUGUCAGCUUCCAAAUAUCAGAUACAUUUACUUUUCCUUUCCGUUAUUCUUAGGUGAAAAUUUUCGUGGUUGCCAUGAGAGGGGUAUCCACAUUUUAUACCGGUUUUGUAGUUUGAACACUUGACCCAUUAUUUGUAACAUUACAUGUAUGCCUAUUUUAUUAGUAUAUGAUGUAUGUCACAGCCUUGUUGUGCUGUUCUCCACUAUUUUCUGUAGCUAUUUGUAACAUAAAUGUAAUGGGUCGGAUUGUGUCCUCUACAGGCUGCUACUGCUUUUACGCCAGCAAUUCGUUUAUCAAGUAUUUUCAGUCUUUGUAGAUUUUGUAUUUCGGGUGUUUGCUUCUACAAAUUGAUUGUAGGCGUAACUAGCUAGCGUCAAAAAGGUGAACCCAUACGCCCUCUAUUUUCUGUUAGAGACAAUUAAGGAUUGGCUGAAAUCAAAGCUAUAACCUGGUUGCUGUAUUGCAUCAGUUUAGGAUCUGCCAUAUAUUUGUAAUGAACUUUAUUACGUGUGUAACAGUAGUGUAUCAGUAGCAUAUUUUGCUGCAAUAGAAGUCUUAUACUUAUAAACAAAGGUAAUGAGGUGUAGGUGUCUUACAGUCUUACUCGAUCGCUUCCCAAGUCCUAACUACCUCUGUACUUCUCAAAUCAACCUAUUCCCUCCCUCUCCUCUUAAUGGAAUAGAACUUGAAUAGGGCCUCGAAAAUUUAUUAAUUUUUCAGUAAUCUAUUCAUAGAAAAUUCCAUAAAAAUCAUUGUAUUUUGUUUUACGGCUAGCGCCGGCACUGUGUCCUAAUUGUCACUUCAAUCGUCAGUGGCAUUCUCUCAAUGUCCACACAAAUCUUCCGGCCUAACUACCGUAGCUCCCUUUGCUGGAGUUUAUUUUGUUGCUCAGACACAGGUGUCACAUCACAUGACAUCUAUGCCUUUCAAUAAUCCACAGACCUUAUGGUGGACCUCUCCAUGUCUAUAUAUAGGGACUGAAUGUAUGUUUCUCAUACCGGUAAACAGUCUCAUGUCAUUAGGUUCUUCCUCUUUCUCUUUGCAAAACGUCUUUUGUAUUUCAUCAAUUCGUAAAAAUCCUCUCUGUUACUCAUUUUACAAAAAAUAAUAUUGUCUUCUUCUUGUAUACUCCUGAUUACUAUAAAAUUUAUUACUUACAUAUUGGUCCUCUUUUGUUCCGAGGCUCAUGUAAAAUGGUCUCUACAGGCCUUCAUUUUCUUCCGAGUCCAUAGUCCCUUAUGCACUACUCUCAUCUGUUCACUCGUCUCUCUAGCACAAUCGCCUAGGACCCUCCUCCAUUUUGGAUAGUUUAGGAUCCACUCUUGGCACUCCUUCGAUUAGCUCAUGCAAAUAUUUAUAAAUAGAGAAUAUCAACCAUUCUCAGCUUCCAUGUCAUCCGUUUAGAGUAAUUGUUGAAUCAUAGUAUUUAUUGUACCUUUUAUUCUACGAACCAAGACCUCUAAUACUACGAUGAGAAAAGAAGUAGAAUGAAAGUAACAACUCAACAACAAAACCAUAAAUAAGCAAAGUAAAAUAGGUGAAGGAAAACAACAUUUCCACUGUAAAAUGAUAAAGUACACAACUUCAAAAUACCACCAUGAAACACACUUGUUUUGCUGCCAACUUGAGUGGACACUUCCUUCUUCACUGUCUACAUGGGUAUCAGAAAAAAAAAAUUAGAUUUGGGAGGAAAGUUUAGCUUACGACGAUUAAUAAAAGGUAAAAAGAGAAGGAAGAAGCGAAGCAGGUUCAAUAUCAAAUGUGGAGGAAAUUAUCAGUAGGGUUUGCACUACUGACGCAGCAGCAGCUAUGUCGGCGCCACUCCACGGCCACGGCCACGGCCACGGCCACUGCUGUGAACUCGAUGCUCCUCCGCUCCCUGAAAGAGCACUAUCUGGAAGUGUCCAUAAUGUCCCCUCCCCCUAAAGUGAACCCUCCCUCGCCUUUCACCGUCGUCAAGGGCGCCCUCGACGGCACCGGCCCCGUCCUCAGGCGCAGCUACGGCGACGAAGAAAUCAGCAUAGCCGUGAUGCGAUUGGCCAAUAUUAUUCCCGACGCCGACGACAUCAACCAGUUGUUCAUACACGUGGACGUUUCGAAGCCCAACGAGAAGGAGUCUCUGAUUUUCCUCUGCGCCCUGUAUCCGGACGCCUUAGGCAUUCACUCUGUCUCUAUGAGGCGCAUGGCUGAACCCUCUGCGCUUCGUUCCUCUGCUCUUCGUUAUAACGGCCCUCGUUUUGAGUAUGUUCCCUAAUUUCUUCCAGCUCAGCACACCUCGUUUGGUAUAUAUGAUGUAUGUCCAUGUGUUACAAUUACCACUCCCAUUCCCCGAAUUUGCACUAACUUAGAACUGAAUACUUCUUACACUGGAAGUACGAACUCUGUAAAUAUCUUCUCCAAUGUUUUGUCUAACUUUGAACCAGACUUUAUUGCUUCCGAGUAGUAUUCAUUUAUUAAAAAUGUUUCAAUUGAUUUGUAUGCUAAUUCCUAACAAAUUGUACUUAGUAUAGAAGAACCCCGAAAAAGAAAAAGACAAGGAAAAAAAAAGUUAUUCUCAACGUUCUGCCCAGACUUAAGUGGUUGAUUUUUCUUAUUUUAUUUAUUAAUACCAUGAUGUCUUCUCCAGCUCAACAAUGACAAUGUUCUGUUGAAUGGUUCCGUGAAGAGGUUAUAAUUCUCAGAAACAAUGACAAGCUAAAGUUUGGGGUUUUCUUCACCGUUAUGCGCUCCAACAGCUUCUUGAUAUUGAUUAUGUGUAUAUAACACGACUCUGUUAACCCUUUUUUCUUUUAAAUCUAGUUUUCUAAAAUUUAGUUUGAUUCUAUGUAUCAUGCAUAUGCUAUUGCUUGGAAUGGUUCAGCCACUAGUAAUAAUGUGGCUUGAGUUAUUUGACUGUUUUCAUUAUAACUUGAUUUUUUCCUUCCUGAAUUCUUUAUAUCUCUUAUUUAUUCUUUUAUCUUUCAAUUUUAGUCUUUAUGUUUCUUCAGAAUAAAUCAGAUAUGUAGAAUGAGGUAUUCCUGAUAAACUGAGACAAUGUUUGGGUUGACUUGUUUGCCAAUUGACAGAGAUCUUGAUGAAGGGAUGAGGGAUGCAUUCCACAGCUACAUAGAAGAGCGGGGUGUGGGUGAUAGUCUUUUUCCAUUUCUUCAAGCUUGGCUUUAUGUAAAAGACCAUCGUAAUCUCAUGCGCUGGUUUAAAUCAGUAGGAUCAUUCGUUAAGGAAACCAAGUCAGUUUAAGAUUCUUAGCUUCAGGUCAUCUAGAAAAGGGAAAAGAAAAAAAAAAACAUGUAUUUAGCAGUUCCAAUGCUAAGUUUUUUCCCUCAACACUAAUUUGUCCUAGUGAGAUUUGUUUAGAAGUUCUGUGGUGUUUGGCUCUUUUCGAGUUAUUUGUGUUACAUUUGAUAUGGUAGUGCAGAGUCCUAUCCAAUAUACCCCUCAUUGAAAAAUAUUAUCCGCUGGUUUUUCUCAUAUGUAUUCCAUGCCAUCAUAAAACAAGGAAAAAACAGUUUCCCUCAAAACAAGGGGCAUAUAGCUAGUAAUUAACUAUAUGGUUUCGUUGGUUAAGGUGUUUAACUGACAACUUUGAGGUUUGAAACAUCACGACAUAUAUAGGGUGUGUGAGUUAUUAAUAACAGUUUUUAAAAUAUUAAAAAAAACCAUAUGUAAAUAGUAAUAUAUAUAUUUUUUUUAUAUAAAAAACUAUCGCCUCUACAUGUCCUCUAACUUAGCCAUGGAGUUUUUUUUUUUUUGAAGAAAAAGAAAAUUAUAACGAGACGCCUUUAGAGCAGUCAAUACUAACAGUUUCUAAAUGUAACGUUUGUGCAGCCUGAAGAGGAAGCACAUCAUGGAGUUAUGAUCACCUCUCUUUUAUCAUUUUAAAACACUUUUAUUAAAAUCCCUUAAGUCACCAGGGCACCACAAAUCCUUACAUAUAUACCUUUAUAACGUUAGUUAGGCUAGUUAACCAACAAGUCAUAGCUCACCAACUAGAACUUAUAAAUCGAGUAUUGUAUUCAAUUCUACUCUACCAAACGAGGCCAUAAGAACUCGAAUCCUCUCCUCAUAUUGCCUCAAACACAAUCUUGACCAUUAAAUCUUACUCAAUGGUCAAGAUGUCUCUUAUUUUUGUUUUUGAGAUAUUUUUCGUACGUGUCGUCUUAUUGUAAAAUCUCUCUCUCUCUCGUCCCAACUGAUAUCUCAAGUUCUUUAUCAAAAAAAUUAUCAAGGUCCUCUUCUCCCAGUCUCCCACAUACCCAUAAUAAGUGAUGAAGCUGCAAUUUCAAAUUUUCAGUUCCAAUCGCCCUCACCCAACCCUCUCCUUCUCCAAAUCCCUAACCUCCACUCUCUUCCUCCUCCCUCAAACCCUCCCUUGAACCUUCCCCGCCGUCGAUGUUGAUAGAAACAGAGAGGACAUGGUAAUGUGGUGCGCGGUGGCGAAAAAGAAGAAAUGGUGGUUCGGAGUCUGAAGGGAGUGAUAGGAGGUAUAAUUCGAGAGAAGGUAGAUAGGGAUUAGGGCAGAAUUUCGCUUCACCCCGCCGUCAAAAAACGGUACGACGAGCAGAGAUCGUUAGAAGCAAAAUGAGAAUAGCUGCGAAUAGAUUAUAAUAAUUUCGAUAACCUGGCCUGGGUGUAUAGAUGAGAAUAUCGACGACAUUUUGGGACGAGAGAGAUGUAAAAAUGUCAAAACAAAAGUAAGAGACAUCUUGAACGGUCAAGAUUGUGUUAUGAGGCAAUAUGCCAAGCAAAGUUGGUCUGAGGUUGAGGAAAUAAGAAUAAACUCCCAGUACAUGUAAUCUACGAAUUUCGAUUGUACAUAUUUUAUGUUUACAACUGGAUGAACUCAUUGUGGAAUCACCAAUCUGGGAAUCUUCAGCUGACUUGUCUCAUUGAUUACCGAUAGCUUUCUA
RNAcentral lists this long non-coding RNA (32836 nucleotides) under Fragaria vesca (wild strawberry). RNAcentral describes it as "long non-coding RNA (FVES_LNC003671)". The record is from RNAcentral. Lineage: Eukaryota; Viridiplantae; Streptophyta; Magnoliopsida; Rosales; Rosaceae.